This is a long non-coding RNA of Bombus pascuorum, 1479 nucleotides long. RefSeq lists it as uncharacterized. NCBI's taxonomy places the organism in Eukaryota, Metazoa, Arthropoda, Insecta, Hymenoptera, Apidae. The record is from RefSeq and is a predicted model, not a curated record. The transcript is spliced from 4 exons.
GGAAGGAAAGCGGAAACGGGAUUAACUAAUGCGUUCGAUUCUUAUUGUAUAGCCAUUACUUUUGUGCGAAAGUGCUCCAGCCGCCGAAAGAAUCUCACGUGCAAGCUUUCUUACGGGAUUUGUCGAUGGGAUAAAGUUAAACGAUUCUACGGUCAAUGAGUUUGAACUUUCUUGGUUUUACCAGGAUAAUUAUUUGGUUCUUUUAUUAGCAGUAGCAUUACAGAUGAGACACAAAAUUGACCUGGCAUCUUACGGAACUCUGUAUCGCAUGUUCUGAAAUACCGGUCGAUCAAAACAAAUUGCGAGGGUGCUAACCGUCUGUGGCUAAAGCAUUGACAAAGAACAGAAUAAACGUGACAUCAUUGACUAAGUCUCCGUGCAGAUGUGCGGCAUUUUACCGCGCAAUCCCUUUGCGAUCUGUUAUAUCUGCCAUUGUUGUUCUUAAGAGGAAAACGAAGAAAGACACAUGAUAGCAACGAUAUCGAGCGGACAAGAGUGAUUUGCGGCAAAUCGCCGCAGCGACAGCGGGUUGGAAGAACAAAAAAAUGUAACAACGACUGGCAUCAGUGUGCAUAUUUGAUUAAACAAGAACAGAAAGGUUCUCUGCGUAGCGUUCUUUUUCUAUUCCCAUAUCGCACCCACUUACACGGUCUCACUCGUACCCUCUACCAUUUUUGUGUUACAUGCGACGUUAUCAAUUCGAUAUAGUAUAGUGAUUUGAAUUAAAAGUAAAGUUUUCUAUGAAAUUACAAAUAGAAUACGAAUCAGGAUAUGGUGUAAUUGUAAACGAAGCAUGGAAUUUUACACUUCUACAUAAGAAAUUCGCAACACAAUUUAUGGAUAACUCAAAUAGAUAAAUUGCGCACAAACGAAAAGAGCGAAAGAAUCAUCAACAACUUGCUUGUGUGGAUAAAGGUAUCGAUCAAGUACUUCAAUUUUCAUAAAUAUACUAAAACUAAGACUUAAAACUAACGAAGCAACUUAAAAUUAAGAUGUGAAAGUAAGACUUAAGACUAAGGUUAAAAUGUAAACUUCAAAUAAAGAGUAAGUCCCCCGUUGCCUCACACCGUCCAACAAUCAGGCUUAAAAUUAACGUAAUUUAGAUCUUAGAACUAAAACCUAUUUAAAUGUAAAACUAAACUAAAAAUAGAUAUUAGAUAGAUAUCAAUCUAAUGUACAUUAGAACGUGGCCAUACUGGCAGCUUUUCAUAUACUUUAACUUAGAACGAAAUUUAAGAAAUUAAACUAUAUAACACAGGUACUCCACGAUGUCCCUGCAAUAUCUCACGGUGUUCUACAACUGGUGCUAAUAAUUUAUUAACGAAUAUCUAUUGUAUGAUUAAUUAAAGCUAUGACGCACACAUUGCACGUUGUAGGCUGUUUAAGCUGAGAGUCAAAACUAAUAUCUAAACCUAAAACUUAAAAGGACGCAUAUACAACAUCUAUCUCCCACGCUACGUUAUAAACACAUUGUACAAU